UGGGGAAUAUUGGGCAAUGGGCGAAAGCCUGACCCAGCGACGCCGCGUGGGUGAUGAAGGCCUUCGGGUUGUAAAGCCCUGUCAUGCGGAAAGAACAGUCUCAUUGUUAAUACCUGUGAGAUUUGACGGUACCGCAGGAGGAAGCACCGGCUAACUCCGUGCCAGCAGCCGCGGUAAUACGGAGGGUGCAAGCGUUGUUCGGAAUUAUUGGGCGUAAAGGACGCGUAGGCGGUAAUGAAAGUCAGAUGUGAAAUACUUCGGCUCAACUGAAGAACUGCAUCUGAAACUUCAUAACUAGAGUACAGAAGAGGGAAACGGAAUUCCCGGUGUAGAGGUGAAAUUCGUAGAUAUCGGGAGGAACACCAGUGGCGAAGGCGGUUUCCUGGUCUGAUACUGACGCUGAGGCGUGAAAGUGUGGGGAGCAAACA
This 428-nucleotide ribosomal RNA is filed under the name uncultured prokaryote. RNAcentral describes it as "bacterial SSU rRNA". It matches the Rfam family "Bacterial small subunit ribosomal RNA", at positions 355 to 774 of the family's 1533-position model. The record is from RNAcentral.